CCUACGGGAGGCAGCAGUGGGGAAUAUUGCACAAUGGGGGAAACCCUGAUGCAGCGACGCCGCGUGAGUGAAGAAGUAUCUCGGUACGUAAAGCUCUAUCAGCAGGGAAGAAAAUGACGGUACCUGAAUAAGAAGCCCCGGCUAACUACGUGCAAGCAGCCGCGGUACUACGUAGGGGGCAAGCGGUAUCCGGAGUUACUGGGUGUAAAGGGAGCGUAGACGGCAGCGCAAGUCUGGAGGGAAAUCCCAUGGCUUAACCAUGGAACUGCUUUGGAAACUGUGAAGCUAGAGUGCAGGAGAGGUGAGCGGAAUUCCUAGUGUAGCGGUGAAAUGCGUAGAUAUUAGGAGGAACACCAGUGGCGAAGGCGGCUACUGGACUGUAACUGACGUUGAGGCUCGAAAGCGUGGGGAUCAAACAGGAUUAGAUACCCUUGUAGUC
This 439-nucleotide ribosomal RNA is filed under the name uncultured bacterium. RNAcentral's name for it is "partial 16S ribosomal RNA". It matches the Rfam family "Bacterial small subunit ribosomal RNA", at positions 338 to 795 of the family's 1533-position model. The record is from RNAcentral.